RNAcentral lists this long non-coding RNA (882 nucleotides) under Olea europaea subsp. europaea. The record is from RNAcentral. Lineage: Eukaryota; Viridiplantae; Streptophyta; Magnoliopsida; Lamiales; Oleaceae.
CUUUGGUUUCUUUUGUUGCUAUCCCUCUCUUCUAAUAAUUUAUUGACAUUAUGUAUUAAGUAGAUUCUGUAUUGAACUUUUAUUUUCUGACACAAUUACAAUAGUGAGCAAAUAUUUUCAUUUGUCUAUUUGCCUACUUGAAAUGGGUCCUUGGAUUUCAUGAUCAACUCAUGCUUAUUUCAGUUACUGUUCUUUUGCACAGUCUUGUCACAUUUAUGAGUUUUCUCCUAGCUCAAUCAGUUUAUAUUUUACCUCUGUAGCCAUGCAGUUGUUAAUUGUUUAGCAUCAAAUUCUCCUUGUUACAGUUGGCUGGAGCAUCACCGGAGUUGAUAAACAGGUUAAUACCAGAGCAUGUUCGAAGACAAGCUAGCUUGAGUUUUCCCCAUCCUGGUGCAACAUGAUUAGUGGGGUUACAUAAUCAUCUGUUCAUUUAGUUGAAGGAUAUGUACCAAAUUGCUUAAUAUCAUCAAGCGUUUUGGCCCAAGUCGAUAGUUUUUGACGCCCCAAAAAUGAUGUAUGCACAUUGUGGCUGUUCUGGUUAAUUAGAAAGUUGCUGAGUUCUAUCUGGUAUGUCCUCUUAGCUACAAAAAGUUCCAUCGUUAUUGUAUAUUGUAUUGUUUUGAUUUUGAUCGAGAUUUUGAAACUUAGGCAUUCAAACGAUCGAACUACUUUCAAAUUGUGUAGUUUUUGUUUGUCACUUCACUUCUGAUGAGUUUCUUUUACAUACUAAUUUCCAGAUUCUUAAAGCCCUAUUGAGAUUACUAUUCCUUCCCUCCAUAUUCUUGUGACAUAUUACUAAUUUUUCAGAUUAAUACUAGUUUGAGACGGCGGUCGAGCCAGUUGUAACUGUUGUCAUCUGAUGAUCGAUCAUAUAUCAUAACA